AUUGAACGCUGGCGGCAUGCCUUACACAUGCAAGUCGAACGGUAACGGGCCUUCGGGUGCCGACGAGUGGCGAACGGGUGAGUAAUGUAUCGGAACGUACCUUUCAGUGGGGGAUAACGUAGCGAAAGUUACGCUAAUACCGCAUAUUCUGUGAGCAGGAAAGCAGGGGAUCGCAAGACCUUGCGCUGAUUGAGCGGGCGAUAUCAGAUUAGCUAGUUGGUGAGGUAAAGGCUCACCAAGGCGACGAUCUGUAGCGGGUCUGAGAGGAUGAUCCGCCACACUGGAACUGAGACACGGUCCAGACUCCUACGGGAGGCAGCAGUGGGGAAUUUUGGACGAUGGGGGCAACCCUGAUCCAGCCAUGCCGCGUGAGUGAAGAAGGCCUUCGGGUUGUAAAGCUCUUUCGGCCGGGAAGAAAUCGUAUCAGCUAAUACCUGGUGCGGAUGACGGUACCGGCAUAAGAAGCACCGGCUAACUACGUGCCAGCCGCCGCAGUAA
Molecule: ribosomal RNA, 498 nt
Filed under: uncultured bacterium
Lineage: Bacteria
Description: partial 16S ribosomal RNA
Rfam family: Bacterial small subunit ribosomal RNA
Source: RNAcentral